UCAAAAUUUUAAGACACUUCAGGGUUAGCCUAGGGAUUUCACCAAUGCAAAUUCAUUACAGCCCUGUAAAUGAAUCGUCCGGCUAUUAAGCAAAGGGUGUCAUUCGGUUUUACCAGAUUAGACACUUAUUCCAAUCGUUGGUUUACACAGACGACUGAUGGAUUCUGGGCGACGACGAUGAACACUAGGCGGUGAUGGUGGGUCGAUUUAAUUUACGCCAAGCCUCGGUCGUGCCUUUUUGUUGGUUUCAUAGACGGUCUUAAGGGUUUCUAGAUAUGCUUUACCACGAAUCGUUGACAUAACUGGUGUUCACAAUGCAAUCAAGGGGUGUUAGUUCCUUCAUUCUCCUUUUUUUCAUUUUAAUCGAAUUAUUGUAAUUAUUAUUUAGUUAUUCUGGAUUUUUUGUGUUUAUCUUUUCGAUUACUGAUUAGAAAUUUGUGAUUUGUAAACGAAUCUUGUGAUUUAAAUUGUAAAUCAACUUGUUUAACUGUUAUAUGAAUGUUGAAUUAAACGAGUCUCAGUUAAAAUUUUGUAUGGGUCAAAUGGGUGCCUUUAACAAUAGCUUGUUUCAUGUGGAGAUUAAUUGAAGAUCGCAUUCCAGUUGCUAAAUAUUUGAGCCAUGGGGGUUUUUGGUAAACUCUGUGAUCUGAAAUCUUUGCUUAAAGGAUCAAGUGUUUGUGAUCUGCAAUCCAUGUUAUCAAUUUUUUUUCUCAUGAUAUUCUCUGUUAUCUGCUUCUUCACCCUCACGUAAGUAUCCUCACUAUUACUAAUACCAUUAGCAUCCUGAACUGGGAAUUCAUUCUGCACUAUAUUGGAUUGAAAUACCACACUAUUUUCGAUAUUAGGAUUCAACGUCAUCACGAACUUGUAAUCCUUUAUGUUCAGUGGAUGAAACAAGCUCACUAGAAUAUGAAGCUACUUACCAGCCAAAAACCGAUUUAUUAAAAGCUCUCGCAAUAUUUGGAGUUGCGGCCACAGGGGCAGUUGCAAUUAAUCAUGAAGCGAAGAAUUUGGAACUGAAUCGGCGAAAAAGCUUGAGGCGUUUCAUGUUUUCUACUAUUUUUGUAAAAAAGGCGUUGCCGUUGCAACUGGUAGACAACAAAGCUCAUUCUAGAUUCGGGAUAUGUACACAAUCUGAUACUUUAUAUCAAGUAAUAACUCUUCUUUCUGACCCAGGGGUGCGGCGUGUAGUGGUAGUUGAAGCUGGCUCCCAGCGCGUGUUAGGAUUAAUCACAUUGAGGGACGUAUUUUCGCUCAUUUUUAGAGAUUAUCAUCUCCAGCAAAUGGUGCAACUGUUUCAGUUAUAGUUCCAUCUAUCAAGGUACUUUAAACCAUACCAAAACAUUUGUAAUUCGAGGAAUCUGGUGUUAUUAUGGAUCCGUUAAAAGUUUGUAAUUCAGUCGAGGGGACGGGGACACGAUGAUGAAGCUAUUGAGAAGAUGCUGAAUUACAUGUCUUUGAUUAAGAAGUUUGAGUAAUUUGUAUGUCUUGUUUCUGUCUAUAUUUCCAAAAAUUACAACGAUUUUGGAGUGGAAAUUAACAAACCCAGAACACGUGAUGAUAUAAUGAUUUGUACCAAGCGCAUUGAGAUA
This is an RNA transcript of Helianthus annuus (common sunflower), 1592 nucleotides long. RefSeq lists it as uncharacterized. The record is from RefSeq and is a predicted model, not a curated record. The transcript has 6 exons. NCBI's taxonomy places the organism in Eukaryota, Viridiplantae, Streptophyta, Magnoliopsida, Asterales, Asteraceae.